RNAcentral lists this ribosomal RNA (886 nucleotides) under Roccellina chalybea. RNAcentral describes it as "LSU rRNA". It matches the Rfam family "Eukaryotic large subunit ribosomal RNA", at positions 40 to 943 of the family's 3401-position model. Lineage: Eukaryota; Fungi; Ascomycota; Arthoniomycetes; Arthoniales; Roccellaceae. The record is from RNAcentral.
AUAUCAAUAAGCGGAGGAAAAGAAACCAACAGGGAUUGCCCCAGUAACGGCGAGUGAAGCGGCAACAGCUCAAAUUUGAAAUCUGGCCCCCGUGGGGUUCGAGUUGUAAUUUGCAGAGGAUGCUUCGGCGUCGGCCCCGGGCCAAGUCCCCUGGAACGGGGCGUCCUAGAGGGUGAGAGCCCCGUACCCUCCCGGGUGUCCUUCGCCGUGUGAAGCCCCUUCGACGAGUCGAGUUGUUUGGGAAUGCAGCUCCAAGCGGGAGGUAAAUUCCUUCUAAGGCUAAAUACCGGCCAGAGACCGAUAGCGCACAAGUAGAGUGAUCGAAAGAUGAAAAGCACUUUGGAAAGAGAGUUAAAAAGCACGUGAAAUUGUUGAAAGGGAAGCUCUUGCCGCCAGACUUGCCGCGGUUGCUCGGCCGUCCCCAGGGGCGGCGUACUCACCCGCCGGCAGGCCAGCGUCGGUUCGGGCGGCCGGAUAAAGGCCCCGGUAAUGUGGCAUCCUUCGGGGUGUGUUAUAGCCCGGGGUGCAAUGCGGCCAGCCCGGUCCGAGGCACGCGUUCGCGAGGACGCUGGCGUAAUGGCUGCAAGCGACCCGUCUUGAAACACGGACCAAGGAGUCUAACAUCUGUGCGAGUGUUUGGGCGUCAAACCCAUGCGCGUAAUGAAAGUGAACGGAGGUGGGAACCCCCCCGAGGGGCGCAUCAUCGACCGAUCCUGAUGUCUUCGGAUGGAUUUGAGUAAGAGCAUAGCUGUUGGGACCCGAAAGAUGGUGAACUAUUCCCGGAUAGGGUGAAGCCAGGGGAAACUCUGGUGGAGGCUCGCAGCGGUUCUGACGUGCAAAUCGAUCGUCAAAUCUAGGAAUAGGGGCGAAAGACUAAUCGAACCAU